GAUGUUGACGGUGCAGAGCACAAAACAGUGCACACAAAGGACUGAUAUUCAAGAAUUGUGGCAGAAUCAACCCGGUACUCAGACGAGGGAAGAUCAAGAUUAAGUGAAAAGAAACACUUCAAUAGCCGCUGGAGCAUGAAAAGUUACGGCAUAUGUGCACAUUAUUGUAAAUGAUUGUAAAUAAUCAGCUGAUUUCAAUAAAAGUUACAUUGAGGGUGAAUGGAA
Molecule: long non-coding RNA, 225 nt
Organism: Frankliniella occidentalis (western flower thrips)
Lineage: Eukaryota; Metazoa; Arthropoda; Insecta; Thysanoptera; Thripidae
Exons: 2
Source: RefSeq, a predicted model, not a curated record